Carassius gibelio (silver crucian carp) is the source of this 4170-nucleotide long non-coding RNA. RefSeq lists it as uncharacterized. The record is from RefSeq and is a predicted model, not a curated record. The transcript is spliced from 2 exons. Lineage: Eukaryota; Metazoa; Chordata; Actinopteri; Cypriniformes; Cyprinidae.
AGUAUGCAUUUAGUUUACCAUCAAACAUUAAGGCACACUCUAAUAGAGAGGGUGAAGAAAUAAUAUGAAUUAAUAAAUGUUUACCUGAAUGUAAAAUGUUCUUGAGGUAGUAACCAGUUCAAAAAGAUUGUCCCUCAUCAUCAAGUCACUAAAAACACAAAUCAGUAUUAGAAACAACAGAAUUAUGGGUAAUCCUAAGCUGUUGAAACAGCACAGCAGCACAGAUGCAUAAUAGGAAUGCUGUUAUUGUAUAUUAAUGUUUGUGUGCUCACUAUUAGUCUGCCCAAGUCCCAAAUAGCACAACUUUUAAACAUUGUGAACUGUCAUAUGUUAAUAUUAAGAUAAACUUGGUGGCCUGGGAGUAAAUAAAAAUAUAACAAAUUAAAUGUUUGCCUGACCUAUCCUGACAGAGCACAUACAUCACAUGACGUCUGUUCAGAGUGUUUGGUUUUGUCAGGAAGAUCCCAUUUGUAAAAGGUUAGAUAAUGUUUCCUUAGAACUUCACUUGGCAGACGAUUUCUUAUUUCUGAUUUUCCAGACGUAAUAACAAUCUGUGCCUGGUGAGUUGUCCAACACAAUUACAGUUUAAAUGCAUGCAUUUCAAGUUACAACAAAAUGGAAGUAGCAACAGAUCUUUUCUUCCUUAUCUGAUUUUAACAGAUUAUGGAUUUUUUUGUUUUGUUUAUAAAAUACAUCAUUUUUCAUUUAAUGAUGGUGUGCUGUAUGCAGUGAUUUUAAUGUUAAAAUACUUUCCCACUUUAUAUCACACUUUAAAGUGCAACUAUAAGUAAACCAUUGAGACAGUAAUUUCGUAGGUUUUCUUUUAAACAGUUUAUCUCUUGCUCAACCAUAGGUGUACGUAUGAGACAUGACUUCCUUUUUGAGAAACUUUGAAUGACAAGGGGUGUGGCAGAAGCGUAUUUGGAAACCAAAACAAGACAAGACAAAAAAAUACAAAUAAAACAAUAAAUAAAUAAAAUAAGACAAAGCAAAACAAUACAAAUCAAGCAAAAAAAAAACAAAAAGUAAAAAAAAAAACGAACCACUACUGACCUUUGUUUACACUCCUGCACCUUGUUCACUUCUUUCAGAGGAAUAAUUCGUAACGGCUCUCGCUCCUAAAGACAGAGUUUCAUUAAAUAAUAUAUUAAAUAUUGUCUUUAUUUGAUGUGAAUGAUUGAACAAGCACGGAGCAAACAUUCCAUGUGCAGUGAGGAAGUGCAGGCCUGAGCAGGGUGCUGCACUGAGCACAAGCCUGUGAUUAUCAGCCCUGAAAUAGCCUUUAUUGACAUCUACUGUAUUAUUUAGCCUUUGACCAAGCCUUCUUCGUAUGCCUGCCCUCCUCACACACACACACAGAGAACAGGAAGCAACUGAUUCUCGGUGUGUGUGUGUGUGCAUGUUUUUGUGACAUAUCAGGACACAACUUUGUAUAAUGACAUGGGUAUGACACAGGUAUUACAAGGAGAGGGUGACUUAUGAGGAUACAAAGUUUCCUGUGAGGGUUAGGGUAAGGUGUAGGGCCAUAGAAUAUACAGUUUGUACAGUAUAAAAACCAUUAUGCCUAUGGAAUGUCCCCACUUUUCACAAAAAUAAAUGUGUGUGUGUGUGUGCGUGUGUGUGCAUGUUUCCCAGUACCAGCCCCAGUACCAGAGCCUAGGCAAAUGGAUUCCACUCAGGUCUCUCAUGAGGAACGCUCUGGCCGACUUGCGGCAGGACUCUGCCUCUAUUGUGCUGCUACUGAUCACUACAUUGGGGCCUGUCCUUUUAAACCCCCAUGUCCUGCAUCUUAGCUUUGGUCGACUCGGGCUCCUCGGGCAACUUCAUCUUGCAAGGCCUUCUAAGUCGUUUUCAGCUGCCUUGUCGCCAUCAUGCCCAGGAGCUCCAAACCGACGACUAUCCUAAAAAUGCCACUAGGAUGUGGGCAUGUGAGAUAUAAGGCCCCUUACUUGAAACUCAAUAUUGGUAACUUCCAUGAGGAGGAAAUCACCUUUCUGGUACUGGAGGGACCCACGGUGGACAUCAACCUGGGAUGCCCCUGGCUUAUCCUCCAUUCUUCAGAGAUCAGAUGGGACUCCUGUGAGGUUAAUUGCUAGAGCGAAUUCUGUCACUAACACUGCCUCACUAAACUUCUAUGUCCACUCCACAAGCCCCCAGCUUCCCAGGUCGCUUCCGUGCAUAUUAAAAUUCCUGAGCCAAGUAUAACUCCCUCAAUCCCAUCUGAUUAUGUGGCAUUCCAGGAUGUCUUUAGUAAGCAGGCAGCCUGAGUUUACCAGCUGUCCAUCCUGGAGCGCAAAGCUAUAGAGGUGUACAUGAAGGAGGCUCUUAACCAGUGAAUCAUCCAGCCGUCCAGCUAACCAGCAGCCUCAAGUUUCUUCUUCAUGGGUAAGAUGGAAGGGGGCUUGUGGCCCUGUAUUGAUUAUGGAGCUCUGAAUUCCCAGAUGUUCAAACUCCCUUAACCACUUCCCCUGGUCCCUGUGGCUAUUGAGGAACUCUGUGGGGCACGUAUCUUCUCUAAGCUGGACCUGCGAAGCGCAUAUAACCUUGUUUGCAUCCGGGAAGGCAAUGAAUGAAAGACGGCCUUCAUUACCCCUUUGGGACAUUACGAGUACCUCAUUAUGCCGUAUGGCCCUGCCAAUGCCACAUCAAUCUUCCAGGGGUUUAUGAACAAGGCGUUCUGAGAGUUGCUCCACAAGUUCGUGAUCAUUUCCAUCAAUGACAUACUCAUUUACUCCUGGAACCUGACUGACCAUUGCCACCACAUUAAGCAGGUCCUUCAGAGGGUACGUCAGCACCACCUGUACCUCAAGCUGGAGAAGUGCGAGUUCCACUGCUCCAUGGUGCAGUUCUUAGGCUACAUCAUCGGCCAGGACGAAAUUCAGAUUGACCAGGGGAAGGUGAAGUAGUGGCACAUUCCCCAGUCUGUAAAUGGGGUUCAGAGGUACCUUGGAUUUGCUAAUUUCUAUAGGCAUUCAUCAAAGGUCUCAGUCUGCAUAGAGCCCCAUUGACCACUCUGCUCCGAGGAAAGCCCAAGUCCCUGUCCUGGAACUCCAGCACCCACAAAGCCUUUCAGAAUCUCAAGAACGCAUUUAGCAUGGCUCCCAUUCUUCAUCAUCCUGAUCCCCAUGUACUGUUUGUGGUGGAAGUGGAUGCCUCCACCACAGGAGUUGGAGCUGUGCUUUCUCAGCAAAUUAGUGAGUCUCCACGCCUCCACCAUUGCUCAUACUGUUUACUAUUCCAAGAAACUGACCCCAGCGGAGUAGAACUACGAUAUCUGUAACAGGGAGCCGCUGGCCAUAAAAUUGGCCCUAGAAGAGUGGCAGCAUUUGCUAGAGGGAGCCAACCAUCAUUUCACUGUCAUCAGUGACCAUACAAACUCCAAUUUCUCUGUGAUGCCAAGAGACUCAAUCCCUGGCAGACCUGCUGGGCUCUAUUUUUCACCCAGCUUAAUUUCAUCAUUAACUACCACCCAGGAAACAGAAAUUGUAAAGCUGAUGCCCAAGCUCGUACUCCUACCCAUUCCUUGUCAGCCCUGAUCACACAUGGAAGUUGAUUUUGUAACCAACCUACCUGAAUCCAAUGGUAACAAAGGCAUCCUACUGGCAAUGGGUAAUUUCUCAAAAGCCUGCAAGUUAAUUGUGGCGAGUGGGGCGGGGCCGAGAGGCGUGGGAACGAGGAGUGAGGCCAGGUGUAGUGAUUGGAGAUGAGCUACACCUGAGCCCCACCGUCGGUAUCGAGUCCCACGUAGGAGAUGGAAGGAUAUAAAACUGGAGUGACGACCAUGAAGGACGAGAGAGGACCAGGCCUGGGACGUUAUUUUAUGUUUUGGUUUUUAUUUGCGCACACCAGUCGUCCGUGAGGGGCUGGUGCGCCGUUUUGUAUUUAUUUUGUGAUUAUUAAAAUGUAUUUUGAUUGUGCGCCGGUUCCCGCCUCCUUCUUCCCGAUGAGUAAGAAGUUCAUAUUGUUACAUUAAUUCACCUACCUGGGUUACCAACAGCCCUCGAAACCACAGAACAACUGUUCACCCAUGUCUUCAGGAACUUUGAAAACUUUGGACCAGUGUACCAUGACCCAGUGAAUUGUCUCUCAAUAUUCCAGAUUAUCACCUGCCAUUUGCUCCUGACAAUCCAAAUUCAAGUCUUUCAAUAAAUCACCUUGUUACUCCUCUGA